RNAcentral lists this ribosomal RNA (110 nucleotides) under uncultured bacterium. Its description in RNAcentral is "partial 16S ribosomal RNA". It matches the Rfam family "Bacterial small subunit ribosomal RNA", at positions 1373 to 1482 of the family's 1533-position model. The record is from RNAcentral.
CCCGGGCCUUGUACACACCGCCCGUCACACCAUGGGAGUUGGUUUUACCCGAAGACGGUGCGCUAACCGCAAGGGAGCAGCCGGCCACGGUAGGGUCAGCGACUGGGGUG